ACGGGUUUAGCUCAGUUGGUAGAGCACUGGUCUCCAAAACCAGGUGUCGGGGGUUCGAGCCCCUCAAUCCGUG
Molecule: transfer RNA, 73 nt
Filed under: Polaribacter reichenbachii
Lineage: Bacteria; Pseudomonadati; Bacteroidota; Flavobacteriia; Flavobacteriales; Flavobacteriaceae
Rfam family: tRNA
About the family: Transfer RNA (tRNA) molecules are approximately 80 nucleotides in length. Their secondary structure includes four short double-helical elements and three loops (D, anti-codon, and T loops).
Source: Rfam by way of RNAcentral